UACGAAGGGGGCUAGCGUUGUUCGGAAUUACUGGGCGUAAAGCGCACGUAGGCGGACUGUUAAGUCGGGGGUGAAAUCCUGGGGCUCAACCUCAGAAUUGCCUUCGAUACUGGCAGUCUCGAGUGCGGGAGAGGUGAGUGGAAUUCCCAGUGUAGAGGUGAAAUUCGUAGAUAUUGGGAAGAACACCAGUGGCGAAGGCGGCUCACUGGCCCGUAACUGACGCUGAGGUGCGAAAGCGUGGGGAGCAAACAGG
This 253-nucleotide ribosomal RNA is filed under the name uncultured bacterium. RNAcentral's name for it is "partial 16S ribosomal RNA". It matches the Rfam family "Bacterial small subunit ribosomal RNA", at positions 524 to 776 of the family's 1533-position model. The record is from RNAcentral.